RNAcentral lists this ribosomal RNA (546 nucleotides) under Xylaria subtropicalis. RNAcentral describes it as "eukaryotic LSU rRNA". It matches the Rfam family "Eukaryotic large subunit ribosomal RNA", at positions 77 to 648 of the family's 3401-position model. The record is from RNAcentral. Lineage: Eukaryota; Fungi; Ascomycota; Sordariomycetes; Xylariales; Xylariaceae.
GCCCUAGUAACGGCGAGUGAAGCGGCAACAGCUCAAAUUUGAAAUCUGGCCCUCGGGUCCGAGUUGUAAUUUGUAGAGGAUGCUUUUGGCGCGGUGCCUUCCGAGUUCCCUGGAACGGGACGCCUUAGAGGGUGAGAGCCCCGUACGGUUGGACACCAAGCCUCUGUAAAGCUCCUUCGACGAGUCGAGUAGUUUGGGAAUGCUGCUCUAAAUGGGAGGUAAAUUUCUUCUAAAGCUAAAUAUUGGCCAGAGACCGAUAGCGCACAAGUAGAGUGAUCGAAAGAUGAAAAGCACUUUGAAAAGAGGGUUAAAUAGCACGUGAAAUUGUUGAAAGGGAAGCGUUUGCGACCAGACCUUUUCCCAGCGGAUCAUCCGGUGUUCUCACCGGUGCACUUCGCUGGGUUUAGGCCAGCAUCGGUUUCCGUAGGGGGAUAAAAGCCCUGGGAACGUAGCUCCCUCGGGAGUGUUAUAGCCCUCUGCAUAAUACCCUUACGGGACCGAGGACCGCGCUUCGGCAAGGAUGCUGGCGUAAUGGUCGUCAACGAC